Molecule: ribosomal RNA, 464 nt
Filed under: uncultured bacterium
Lineage: Bacteria
Description: partial 16S ribosomal RNA
Rfam family: Bacterial small subunit ribosomal RNA
Source: RNAcentral
CCUACGGGGGGCAGCAGUGGGGAAUUUUGGACAAUGGGCGCAAGCCUGAUCCAGCUAUUCCGCGUGUGGGAAGACGGCCUUCGGGUUGUAAACCACUUUUGUAGAGAACGAAAAGUCUGUUGAUAAUACCGAUAGAUGAUGACGCUACUCUAAGAAUAACCACCGGCUAACUACGUGCCAGCAGCUGCGGAAAUAGCGAGGAUGCGAGCGUUAUCCGGAUUUAUUGGGUUUAAAGGGUGCGUAGGGGGAAUGCCAAGCCAGCGGGAAAAUCGCGGGGCUCAACCUCUCUCCGCCGUUGAAACUGGGGUUCUUGAGUGGGGGAGAGGUAGGCGGAAUGCGUGGUGUAGCGGUGAAAGGCGUAGAUAUCACGAGGAACACCGAUUGCGAAGGCGGCAUGCCGGCGCCCAACUGACGCUGAAGCGCGAAAGCGUGGGGAUCGAACAGGAUUAGAUACCCGUGUAGUC